CAAUCCACUAUAGUCAUGCUAAUACUGCUAUAAUCAGGGAUCCCGAUUCACACUCCUCACCAGCUGGUGGCGGUAGUGCGCCAUGACGUUGUUUGCCAACCGCCAAUAGCACUCGAAGAAGAAGCGGAAGUAGAAGAAGCGGAGAUGUUUGCAGUUACCCGGAAGACAAGUGACAGAUAAAUAUUUCACAAAAGAACGUGCGCAGAGGCCCGUGUUGUCCCAAACUGUUUCGUUUGUCGGAAGAGAGGAAACGUGAAUGUCACAACCAUGGCUUCAGACACGGACGGAGAGGGCGACAUGUUCUGGACUGAGGAGGGGAUGCAGACUGGUGGACAUGGUUUGGAAACCAAAGAUUAAGUUACACAGGACAGAGCUCCCACAGCAAGUUGUUUGUAAGGAGGAGGAGGUUCUCUCUGAGCAGCAGCUCUGUGACCAGCAGAGGAACUCCAGUCUGGUCCAAGAGGAGCCAGAGCAACCAAGUGCUGCUGCUGAAGAAAAAACAAGAGUCACUGAGAAUAUUAUCAUCGAGUUCAAUGAAGACAUUGAUCAUCAGCGCAGACUGGUGGAUAUGGUUUGGAAACCUGGGAUAAAGAUGCACAGGACAGGUGAGUACAAGCACAAUGGUCCGUAUAAGACACAAGGGAAACUGAAUUCACAAUCAGUGUUUCUCUGUGAAGAACCAUGUGUUUCGCCUCAUACGUUGACUUUCAUCCAAUCUCUCAAAUUUAAAUUUUUCUGCUAAUGCCUCAACAUGGAUGGAGUCAUGCCUAAAUGCCUAAACUACGGUCUGCUAACUCCGACAGAGUAACUCCUCCAUCUGGCGCCCCGCUGCCCCCUCUUCUUCUUCUUCUUCUUCUUCUCGCAGCUCCCUCUCUCGGGUCUCCCUGCGGUCACAAUAUCCGCACCCAUCGGCAGCGCAGGAGCGCCACGAGAGAGCAUCUGCUUUGGUGUGGCUCGUCCCCGGUCGAUGUUCGACAGUGAAGUUGAAAGACUGUAGUUUCUCUAUCCACCGGGCCACCUGCCCUUCAGGCUCCUUGAACGUCAUGAGCCAGCGAAGAGCAGCGAGGUCUGUCCUUACCAAAAAGUUGGGGCCACAAAAGUAAUAUUUAAAAGGCUGAUGGAUAGAACCACUGCCAAGAUCUCACUCCGGGUGACGCAGUAGUGCUUUUCAGCCUUACUUAAGGUGCAGCUGUAGUAUGCCACCGCGCGUUCCCCCUCUGGCCCCAGCUGAGAGAGCACACCUCCCAACACUUACCCACUAGCAUCGGUAUCCAGGAUAAAAGGCAAGGAGUGGGUCCGCGGGGCUAGGACCGCCGCACUGUACAAGGCCCGCUGCAGGCUGGUGAAGGCCUCCUGGCACAGGUCAGUCCACUCAAAGUCUCUGUCUUUUGGCAGCAAUUGGAACAGGGGGGCUGCGAUACAGGAGAAACCGUGGACAAACCUCCUGUAGUAUGAGGCCAGGCCCAGGAAGCUCUUCAGCUGUUUCGUGUUGAUGGGGGUAGGCCAGCUAGUCACUGCCUGCACCUUCUUCUCCAGCGUGCUGCCAUAGCCCCCCGCCCGGUACAGAAGGUUGUAUUGGGUUUUGCCUCCAGGGCCAGAGGCCCCUCGACUUUGUCCAGGGACUCAUCUAUGCAGGGAAGGGGGUAGGAGUCUUUCUUGGUUCACCGGUCACCAUUCACCGGUCAAUAGUCCGGGCAGAGUCGCCAGCCGCCGUCUUUUUGGGGACCAUUACUAGGGCUGAGGCCCAGGGGCUGUCUGACGGCUCGAUGAUGCCUGCUUGCAGCAGGUUUAGGACAGCCUCCCCACAGGCUUCCCGACGAGCCAAAGGCAGGCAGCGUGGGCGGCACUUGAUGGGACGCACUUCCCCCGUAUCCAUCUUAUGCUGUACCUGAGGCGUCAAUCCCACCUUCUCAUCCUUGAGGGCAAAGCUGUCUUUAAACUCGUACAACAGCUGCCACGGCUUCUCCUGUUGUUGGGGGGGACAAGCCACCGGAGUUUGUCCUCCUUAUCGCUCAGCCACUGCACCACACACCCUCUCUCUCCACCGCCAUUUCCAGGGCUGCCUGUAGAGUGGGUGGAUGAACUUGUACCUGUAGCUCUGUAGGGAAGAGGGCCCAGAUGAAUUGGUCCCUUGCCAGCUCACUUUGCACUUCCGGAGGCAUAUGUGCAUAUGUUCACAGUGUCAUGCUCUGGCAUUGGCGAGCCCCCUCAGUGACUCUCCUCCUGCAACGGUUACUCAGCUCAUUCCGGAGGAGCCCAGGCUGCCGACACAGUCCGAACCGCCUCUGCAGAGCCCCCACCAGAGCUUCACAAUGAUGCCUAUCCUCCGGAACUAGUAGUAGAAGGCAGGAUAGAGCAUCUUCAGUGAGGCACAAUGCCAGCUGUAGGUCUUUAGUCUCUUUUAGUCGACCACCCUUCUGCCCUGGACAAAAGUUGGAAUUGUGCCCGGAACGCCUCCCAGUCCGACCUGCCUGAGUAUUUCGGUGUUUUCACUGACACGGCCACAGCGGGGCGAUGGUUCUGUUAAUGUUAUUUAGUUGUAUUGUACUGUGUUUCCAUUUCUUCCUGGCCACACACCUCAGAUUCUAUAUGUCAAUCACUCAAUAAAUUUGAGCUCUCUCUCAACUGACCCUCAGUUUUGAUUGUCAUUCAACAAAUAAAUAUCAGAGCUGCUGUGCAAUUCUCGCAGGGCGCUAAAAAGGGUUUAA
Molecule: long non-coding RNA, 2708 nt
Organism: Scophthalmus maximus (turbot)
Lineage: Eukaryota; Metazoa; Chordata; Actinopteri; Pleuronectiformes; Scophthalmidae
Source: Ensembl